GAAGUUGGGGUGGGAUCCCAGCCUUCCCUUCAAGAGGCAGGGAGCUCUGGGAGGUGGAGUCCCCACCGCUUUCUCUACUAGGCUCCUCCUGUUCCCCAGGCUUGGGGAGCUUUGCACAAGGAGACUGCCCCCAGCCUAGUGGCACCUACCUCAUGGGCUCUGGGGCAGGUAGGGGAAGGGCCAGUCCAGCUCUGGUAAUGCUGGGGGGAGGCAUACCAAAGAAUCCAGGGGCAGGGAGUGGGGAGGGUGACUUCCGAGCUGGCCUCUCCCCUUCCUCUACCCAGACUGGGGCUGGGAUCCUCUCCUCCCGCUGUAACCAUUUCUACCUCAUUUUGCUGCGUGUUGUACAUGGACGUAUUUAUCUCCUGUCUGACGAUGCUCUGCAGUUGUGGUCUGUCUACCUCAGAAGAGACUGUAUUUUAAAAGAAAGUAUUACACAGUAUUAAAGCGAUGACAUGUGGUUUGCAGAA
RNAcentral lists this long non-coding RNA (470 nucleotides) under Homo sapiens (human). Its description in RNAcentral is "non-protein coding lnc-KRT80-15:1". The record is from RNAcentral. Lineage: Eukaryota; Metazoa; Chordata; Mammalia; Primates; Hominidae.